GGAAGCAGGGCAGCCCGGACCGGCUGUGGGUAGGAGGGAAACGAAGAAUUUUCCCCCCCGUCUCAACCGGAAGGGCUUCUCAUCUUUUACGGCUGCCCCAAUGUAGAUUUUUCAUCAUGUAUCUAGACCAAAAGCAUAGCUUUCUGUGCGCGUGACUGGAAAGGGGAAGGUGGAAUGCAAUAAAAUAGCGCCGUAAAAAUAAAAAUAGCAAUAGUUUUCAAAAGUAUCGGUGGUCACCAAGUAGGCACCGCUGGGAAACUGAAACCCCGCCGUGAGCGUAAGCGGGCAUGGUCAGCUCCGUCGCGAAAUAAAGAAGUAUCUUGGAUAAUAUUCCUGUUUCUGUGAAGAACGUGGGUGGCCAAAGCUGAGAAAGAGUGUUCCAUGGGAAUAGUUGAGAGUUUUAUGUACAAGAGUGCCUGCAAGAGAUUUUUCUCACUGAUGUGACUGCCAAAAUCGGAUCCAACAAGGCAAUUCUUAGGAUACAAUAUCUUCGGCGAUGAAUUAAGUGAGGAGGAAGAGGAAGGAGAAUCAAGGAGGAAUAGAAGAAGGAGAGGACUCAGAGACUAACUCCUCUUAUCCGGAUGUGAAGAAACAAGAUAAAUAGAAGAAUGAUUCUUACAAGGGACUUCUGCCGAAGAUAUAGAAACUGUAUAUGAACUUAUGGAGAGGGGUUGGAGGGCAA
Long non-coding RNA from Eublepharis macularius, 682 nucleotides. RefSeq lists it as uncharacterized. The record is from RefSeq and is a predicted model, not a curated record. NCBI's taxonomy places the organism in Eukaryota, Metazoa, Chordata, Lepidosauria, Squamata, Eublepharidae. The transcript is spliced from 3 exons.